This 484-nucleotide ribosomal RNA is filed under the name uncultured bacterium. RNAcentral describes it as "partial 16S ribosomal RNA". It matches the Rfam family "Bacterial small subunit ribosomal RNA", at positions 29 to 507 of the family's 1533-position model. The record is from RNAcentral.
AGUGAACGCUGGCGGCAGGCCUAACACAUGCAAGUCGAGCGGCAGCGCGGGGGCAACCCUGGCGGCGAGCGGCGGACGGGUGAGGAAUUCGUCGGAAUCUGCCUUUUUGUGGGGGAUAACGUAGGGAAACUUACGCUAAUACCGCAUACGUCCUACGGGAGAAAGUGGGGGACCGCAAGGCCUCACGCAGAAAGAUGAGCCGACGACCGAUUAGCUAGUUGGUGGGGUAAAGGCCCACCAAGGCGACGAUCGGUAGCUGGUCUGAGAGGAUGAUCAGCCAAACUGAGACUGAGACACGGCCCAGACUCCUACGGGAGGCAGCAGUGGGGAAUAUUGGACAAUGGGCGCAAGCCUGAUCCAGCCAUGACGCGUGUGUGAAGAAGGCAUUCGGGUUGUAAAGCACUUUUGUCCGGAAAGAAAUCCCUGGAGCUAAUACCUUCGGGGGAUGACGGUACCGGAAGAAUAAGCACCGGCUAACUUCGUG